RNAcentral lists this ribosomal RNA (378 nucleotides) under uncultured bacterium. RNAcentral describes it as "bacterial SSU rRNA". It matches the Rfam family "Bacterial small subunit ribosomal RNA", at positions 29 to 409 of the family's 1533-position model. The record is from RNAcentral.
AACAAACGCUGGCGGCGUGCCUAAUACAUGCAAGUCGGACGGGGAAAGCCUUCGGGUGAGUACUAGUGGCGCACGGGUGAGUAACACGUGGGUAAUCUGCUUUAGAGUGGGGGAUAACCAGUCGAAAGAUUGGCUAAUACCGCAUAAGACCACAGGAUCUGCGGAUCUAGGGGUCAAAGGUUUUUCGCUCUAAAAUGAGCCCGCGCGGGAUUAGCUAGUUGGUGAGGUAACGGCUCACCAAGGCUACGAUCUCUAGCUGGUCUGAGAGGAUGAUCAGCCACACUGGAACUGAGACACGGUCCAGACUCCUACGGGAGCAGCAGUAGGGAAUAUUGCACAAUGGAGGAAACUCUGAUGCAGCGACGCCGCGUGAGUGAU